RNAcentral lists this ribosomal RNA (253 nucleotides) under uncultured bacterium. RNAcentral describes it as "partial 16S ribosomal RNA". It matches the Rfam family "Bacterial small subunit ribosomal RNA", at positions 524 to 776 of the family's 1533-position model. The record is from RNAcentral.
UACGUAGGGUGCGAGCGCUGUCCGGAAUUACUGGGCGUAAAGAGCUCGUAGGUGGUUUGUCGCGUUGUCCGUGAAAACUCACAACUCAAUUGUGGGCGUGCGGGCGAUACGGGCAGACUGGAGUACUGCAGGGGAGACUGGAAUUCCUGGUGUAGCGGUGGAAUGCGCAGAUAUCAGGAGGAACACCGGUGGCGAAGGCGGGUCUCUGGGCAGUAACUGACGCUGAGGAGCGAAAGCGUGGGGAGCGAACAGG